Molecule: long non-coding RNA, 565 nt
Filed under: Vigna radiata
Lineage: Eukaryota; Viridiplantae; Streptophyta; Magnoliopsida; Fabales; Fabaceae
Description: long non-coding RNA (VRAD_LNC015026)
Source: RNAcentral
UUAAUAUAAAAUGGAAGUGGUAGGAGCACUUUGAAGUUUUCUCUGAAUUUUGCAGUAUAUCACAAAUUCAAAUCUAAACCAUAUGAAUGUUCCAUUAAUAUAGAGAGAGAAAGAGAAAGAUUGCUAAAGAUAGUGGGGGUGUAGGGUAUUUUUGGAAUAAAAAAGAUAGUGUGGAGGUGUAAAAUAAUUUUGAAAGAAAUGAAAAUAGUAGGGAGGUGGAGGGAGCAACACCCAAAAAAAACUUAGAAAUGAAACAAAAAUAACAAAGAUCUUACUAAAGAAUAACAAAAACUGGUUAGAGAAGAAAAAAAGAAAACAAAACCUUGAACUCCUGAAACAAAAAUGGUAAUUGAAAAAAUGUACUUCUUUUUUUCAACGACGCGAAAAGAGUAAAAAGAUUGCAAAAGGAAACAAAAUAAAUGAGAUGCUAGUAAAUAAGAACACAACAAAAAAAUAGAACAAAUCUACAAAAGGAAUGAAAAUAACUCAUAUCUUACUCAAGAACAGAAAUUAGUUACAAAAAUGAAAAAAACUUAAAUGCAUGAAACAAAAAUUGCGAUUGAAG